Long non-coding RNA from Brassica napus (rape), 5951 nucleotides. RefSeq lists it as uncharacterized. The transcript has 2 exons. Lineage: Eukaryota; Viridiplantae; Streptophyta; Magnoliopsida; Brassicales; Brassicaceae. The record is from RefSeq and is a predicted model, not a curated record.
GUCCAACCUUUGAAGCGGAAGCACCAAGCGUAACAUCCAUCAUCAUGGAGAACCAACUUUGCUUUGAUCCCGGCACAACUCCUACACCUUUGUCCACAUACAUUCAAGAGCACUAUGAGAAACUUGAUUUGAUUAAUUCUCUGCCUGAAAUGUUUGUUAAGAUCAAUUCUGAAGAUGUGAAACAUUUUGGUUUUGACAAAGUUAAAGAAUUUUGUGUUUCAAACUCUAUUUCUGAAAACAUGGUUAACUCUUUUCAAUUGUUUGAACCUGAUAAACUUUCUGAUCAAAAACGUUUUCAAAUUGGCAAUGACAUCAAUUCUAAUCUUGCUUUGAGUUUUGAUCAGUUUCUGAAACAUAGCAAGGGUUUUGAUCAUCUUGAAAAGUUAUUAGAGUUUGGUUUGUAACAACCUGUUUUAUGUGCUAGAAAAUCAUUUGAUUCAUUUGUCUUCAAAUAAAAUGGCUUUGAUCUGAGUUUUCAUAAACAUGAACUGAUCACUGGUGAUUUGUUUGCAUCCACUUGUGCCUUGGACGAACUAAUGAUUUUUAAGACUGUGUUGGAACAGAGAUCACCUAGAGUUGAAACCGAUUUUUGUGAUUUUGUUUUGAAGUUUGAUAUCUUGUGUGUUGAAACUGAUAAAACUUUGGCGUAAUUUGAGAUCAUUGCUUGAGAUUGUGUUGUUUUGAGCUUUGAUGUUAUUUUGGUUUACAACACAUUCUUUGAAAAACAUAUUGAGCUUUUAAUAAGUGAUUCUCAAUCCGAACUUACUCUUUUGUGUUCUGAUUUUGAGAAGGAUAGGCACGUUUUGAAAAUGUUCAAUAUUAUUUUGUGCCUUGAUACCAUUCUGGUCUAUAAUGCUUACUUUGAUGUGCAUUUUGAAAGGCUGAAACGUGUGCUACAUGUUCUUGGGAAAGAGACGUUGAUUGCUUAUUUGAGCAAGUACAUGUCUUGCACAUAUGAUCCUGGUAUUCUAGUUUCUGUUUUGAGUGUCCAGUAUAAACAGAUUCAGUCUCAAAGAAAUGUAAGGAACAAAAGCAUAGACCGUGCUUAUCAGCCUAAGAUUUGGAGAUAGAAGUACUUGAGGAAAACAACUUCAAAACUCCAAGGAAGUUUCUUUCCAAAAUUUUCCUUCACUAUAUUUUACAUGUUCUUUAGAUUCUUUGUGCCUGAUUAAUUUCCUUUUGAUACAUGUAAAACAGAUUUGAGGUCCUUUUCAAGAGGGAGGGAAUGAUGCGCCCUUGGGUAGCGCACCGGGCAAAACAUACAUGCAUGGCUUGAUCAUGGAAAGCAGUAAAGAUAUAUGUUCAUUGUUUGACCCAUAUCUUCCAAACCACGAGGCUUCUAUGUAUGAAAUCACUUGUAGAAUGUUCUCAACUCAAUUAUGGAGCUCCUCGAAGAAGAAUCAGAUCAAACGGAGUUCAUAUGUGACAGUUAUGCCAUUUACAAAUCAUGUAGUCUUCAGUUCUCGCGAAUUCAGAACACCCGAGAAGUUGGAAAUGGCUAACCUUCUUUCUGAUGAACCAGCGACCAAUUCAAUCAUCCCAAAGGUGAUUAUUCAUGUUCUAAAUGUCCAUGAAAGUUUUGGGCUUGAUGGUUUACAAAAAGAAUCAAAAAUAGACUUGUUUGGACCAAAUGGAGAAACCGAUAAAAAUUGGCUAAGGAAAAAAUAUGGAUUUCGACCAGACCUUAAAGAGACAUGUCUUGGCCCAUAUCAGGAGCAUAUUAUUCACUUUUCAAAGUCAUGGUCGUUGCUAUAUCAAGAGGCAGCCCAAGUUUCAGUCAAAGACUUUAUUUAGUCAAGUCUUUGUUUAUAUUUCCAAUGUUUUGUUUUUAGCACAUUCUUCUUUGGAUCUCUACAACUUGUAAUCCUAUAAAUAAUGCCUAAGAGCCACGAAAUAAGACAAACUUUUUCCCCUUUUUAUUGAGUUUAUCUCCUUUGUUCUUUGUAGAAUACUUCUUUUUUCUUGGUGUGGUUAGCUCCAAGUAAACUUCUCUAUUUCGUUGGAUGUGCAUCAUAUCAAGCAACAUAUAGAAACCUUUCUUUUGUUGGACUUGUGCGUCAUAUCAAGCAACAACUGGAGUUUGGUAGUAUCAAGAGACUUUCCGACCCUCUUGUAUCACCGUUCAAUCCAUCAGUUCUCCCUUUUGGCGAGUUCAUAUCCCUUAAGUCCAAUUGAGUGAUCCUUCCCUAUUUUAGGGCAUGCCUUUCUAUAUAUUUUUUAAAUGAGAGCACUAAGUUGGAAUUGCCGAGGAAUGAGAAGUAAGUGGACUAUAAGUUAUUUAAGGGAGAUAUGGCAUAAACAUAAGCCAGAUUUUUUAUUUUUAUCGGAGACAAAGCAAGAGUUUGAGUUUGUUCAUGAAUUUCAAUCUCAUUUUGGAUUUGAUAAUCUUGUCACAGUGGAUCCAGUGGGACGGAGAGGUGGCUAGCACUUUAUUACAAUAAUGAGUAUCAGGUUAAUGUUUUAUAUUCAAGUAAUCGAAUGAUAGAUGUGGAAGCAGUGGCUCUUGGGAAAAACAGUAUAUAUGACGUUUGUGUAUGGAGAUCCAGUUCAAGAUCUACGAGAACAAGUGUGGGAACGCUUAACUUGAUAUGAAAUUUCACGAUCCGAACCUUGAUUUAUUAUUGGUGAUUUAUUAUUGGUGAUUUAAAUGAGAUCACAGGAAAUCAUGAAAAAGAGGGUGGAGCUUUGAGAAGUGCGAACUCAUUUGUUCCUUUUAAUAAUAUGAUAAGGAAUUGUAGAUUACUGGAGUUUCCUGUUAAGGGAAAUAAGUUGUCAUGGCAAGGAAGAAAGGGCAAAGGCAAAGGGGCAGUAAUGGUUAGAUGUCGUUUAGAUCGUGCAUUUGUGAAUGAGGAGUGGCACACUCUAUUCCCCUGUUCUUAUACAGAAUAUUUAGGGAUGGUGGCAUCGGAUCACCGCCCAGUGGUGGCUUACUUAGAAGAUAAAGUUCUCCGGAGAAAAUGGCAGUUUAGAUUUGAUAAGAGAUGGGUUAGACAAGAAGGCCUUAUGGAAUCUAUCUAUCUAUACUAAUAAAGAACAGUUUGUUCUCUUCUCAUUAAGCCACAUAGGCAUCCACGUAGAUAAGUCACUCUCGGCAGCGGUGACACGUGUUGAGUUUUGUCCAAACUCAUCGUUUCAUUAAAAUAAGAGAAUGCGACGUAGAUCUUCUUUCAUCUUUUCUAAAAUCCUAAGCGUUUCACCUCCUACGGUUUCCAGAUUGAUAAUGAACUUUAAUAAUCAUCAAUAGAAACGUCCCCUUCAAUCACAUGUCCUAAAUUCACAUCUACUCCCUUCCAAGCUUUCUCUAUCGUCAUGAUUCACAUGGGAUUCAAAGCUUUUAGCAGAAAGUUGGAUUCAUAAGACUCCUUAGUCCGACGUCACCGUCGCUCCAACAAAUGAAGCCUCUGCCAGCCUCGGUCGUAAAUGGAAGUGGAAUCAAGGUAUCGGAUCCCUCUCCCCAGCUUCCUGUCUUCAGAACGCUGAUUGCAGUCAGUUGAUUGGAUUGAAGGAAAGACAUCACUUUGCAAAUCGAAAUUAGGUUAGAGCCGGAUACUGUUGCUUCCUUUUGCUUACUGAUAAGAUUGAAUAUUGAUAUUGACAUCGUCUCUAUGUAUUAAAUUUUAUGAUACUUUGAUGAUGAUAUAUAUUUUAAUUUGAUUGGAAAUAAGUGGUUCAACAGAUGCCACCAAGCUCUAUAACCACAGCUGGUGGUCCGCCUGCUCUAACUCCUGCACCACCUUCCAAACUGAUGUUCAGGUAGUUUAGUUAUCCAAAGUGUUUUUCCUCUCUUCUUUUAGUUUAUCACUCACUAUAUAUCUCAAACUCGAUAGAUCAACAGACCCGAGUUCUACCAGAAGCAGGAAGAAGUGACGGUCUCAAUUUUCUCCAAAGCAUAACGUAAAAAGUCGAGUUUGAUGACCAGAUUGUGAGUAUCAUUCGAUCAGAUAAAUGCAUUACCUUUAACUGAACCUAUCUUGCUUUGUGAUUUGGCACUGCGUACUGAUUUGAGAUAUCUAUUCAGGUUAUGUUUUUCAGUUGAUGAUGUUUCUCAUUUUGCUGGAGAAGAAGCUUAUCUUUACUAACCAAGUUUGUUUGGGAAGGUGUAUAUAUUCGUCAACUUGAAUAGUGGGUUUUGUCCAUGCCUUUACUAAAUCAAUAUUCAUGUGUUAUAUAGAUAGUACGUGAAGUGCAUAUAUAAAGUUUUUGGAGCCAAAUGUUGAGAUCCGUCUCGCAAAAGCUGAGAUAGUAACUUGGGCAUCCCUUGAAUAUGGAAAAGGGAUAGCUCUUCUGCCUAAACCUAAUCUCGCAUCAGUUUUUUUAAAACAGCGAAGUCUUUAUUUCUGCUUACUUUUUCGCUUUGUUUUAAUCUAUUCAUAACAGCCGUGUGUGCCGUGAUACAGGGCUCGGUGGACGUUGUGUUUAUGAGAAGAACUGAUGAAUUCCAAGCUAUGAAGAGACACAACAAUGUACUGUUGCAUCAUGCAUGGACGGUUAAUGGAUCAAAAGAUUCUGGAUGGAAAUACUGAGGUUGCUCCUGUUGCAACUCGAGUCCAUGUAAAUGGAUUGAAGGAAGGAUUGAGAGGACUGUUUCCAUUGUUGGAGGCAGGAAAAGAAGACUAGGAAGAUGCACAUCUCCUUCUGUGAGACACCUUCCAAUGUAAGUGUUAAUGACUCUGAGCUCGAGUCCGAUGUAAGUGUUUAUGACGAAUUUGAUAUGGUUUUAUGUCUCCUUUGAUGAAUGUAUGUGUUUACUGUAUUAACUGUUUCUAUAUGGAUAAAGAAAAGUUUUACAUCAACAUUGUGGUCGUAGGAAGAGACGACUCUGGAAAAUCGACAGACACUGGUCACUUGAUCGACAAGCUUCAUGGUUUAGGAAGUUUUAGACCACCGAGUACUACUGCACUGUCUUUGCUGCUUCUUAUCUUGAUUUCAUCAAGAACAUGGUUAGUGGUACCUCCCAGGAUGAUUGUGUUGUUUUUAUCAUUGACUCCACCAUUGGUGGUUUCAAAGUUGGUAUCUCUAAGGAUGGACAGACCCCAUGAGCACACUCUCCUUGCUUCACCCUUGAUGUCAAGCAAUGAUUUUUUUUUCUGUAAUAAGGUGAACUAGCUUUUCAUUUUUCAUUGCUUGAUGUGACCAUACUCUUUUGAUACGAUACUAACAUCAAUUCAUGUCUUUUGUUGUUUUUCUGUUGCAGAUGAAUGCAACUACCCCCAUAUACUCCAAGGGUAAGUACAAUGAGAUUAUCAGGGAGGUGUUUUCUUACUUAAAGAAGUUUGGAUACGACACUUGAAAAAUUCCAUUCGUCCCCAUCUCUGCUUUUGAGGAUGACAACAUGAUUGAGACGUCCACCAACCUUGACUGGUAUAAUGGACCAACUCUCGUUGAGGUUUUUGACCAGAUCAACGAGCCCAAGCGGCCCUCAGAUAAGCCCCUCCGUCUUCCAGUCCAGGAUAUUUAAGGGUUGUAUUGGAACGGUGCCAGUGGGUCGUGUGGAGCCUGGGUAUGGUUGUCACCUCUGCACUCUGGCCAGCGUGUUGGAUAUGAUCAGAGACAGAUAUAUUAAGAUACAAAAGCAGAUAAAAUGAGCAGAGAGUCAUGCGUUUGUGGAGCAACUCUAUGGAUGAGAGCACUUUAGAAAAGGAGGCCACGAUGGAUCUGUAUUUGUACAGCUUCAUGGAAUGCAAAAGGAGCAUCUUUUGGACAUCACUUUUCCAAACAUCCUUCACUUGCAAGUAAAUGAUGGUCAAAAUAUGUUUAAUCAAGAUUUGUGCUCACAAAAAAUUAUACGUAUUUAUUAAAGGUUUACAAGUGCUUUCAGUAUUGUAACUGUGAUUGGUCAUAUACGUUCUCUUCUGGUGAAGUUAGGAGAGGUACUUAGAACUAAAGGAGGAAGAGGAUGUAUUAUUAUAUUAAGGCUCCCAAGAAUAAAGAUACUAUACUUUGAUCCAACC